AACUUUUAGCAACGGAUCUCUUGGCUCUCGCAUCGAUGAAGAACGCAGCGAAAUGCGAUACGUAAUGUGUAUUGCAGAAUUCAGUGAAUCAUCGAAUCUUUGAACGCACCUUGCGCCCCUUGGAAUUCCGAGGGGCACACCCGUUUGAGUGUCGUGAACAUCCUUCAACCUUUCUUGGUUUCUUGACCGGGGAAGGCUUGGACUUUGGGGGUCUUUCAUUGCUGGCCUCUUUGAAGCCAGCUCCUCCUAAAUGGAUUAGUGUGGUCUGCUUUGCCGAUCCUUGACGUGAUAAGAUGUUUCUACGUCUUGGGUUUCGCACUGUCGCUUUAGACCCCGCUUCUAACCGUCUUGCAUUCAAGACAGAGUUUUUAAACCUUGACCUCAAAUCGGGUGAGACUACCCGCUGAAUUUAAGCAUAUCAAUAAGCGGAGGCU
Molecule: unclassified non-coding RNA, 434 nt
Filed under: uncultured Russula
Lineage: Eukaryota; Fungi; Basidiomycota; Agaricomycetes; Russulales; Russulaceae
Description: sequence contains ITS2
Rfam family: 5.8S ribosomal RNA (bases 1-154)
Source: RNAcentral